RNAcentral lists this transfer RNA (78 nucleotides) under Streptomyces phage Manuel. RNAcentral's name for it is "tRNA-Thr". It matches the Rfam family "tRNA". Rfam says of the family: Transfer RNA (tRNA) molecules are approximately 80 nucleotides in length. Lineage: Duplodnaviria; Heunggongvirae; Uroviricota; Caudoviricetes. The record is from RNAcentral.
GCCUGAUUAGCAUACGCUGGCCCAUGCACCUGUCUAGUAAACAGGAGAACGUCGGUUCGAUUCCGACAUCAGGCUCUC